RNAcentral lists this ribosomal RNA (217 nucleotides) under Ralstonia pickettii. Its description in RNAcentral is "23S ribosomal RNA". It matches the Rfam family "Bacterial large subunit ribosomal RNA", at positions 1 to 222 of the family's 2925-position model. The record is from RNAcentral. Lineage: Bacteria; Pseudomonadati; Pseudomonadota; Betaproteobacteria; Burkholderiales; Burkholderiaceae.
GGGUCAAGCGAAUAAGUGCAUGUGGUGGAUGCCUUGGCGAUUACAGGCGAUGAAGGACGUAGUAGCCUGCGAAAAGCUGCGGGGAGCUGGCAAACGAGCUUUGAUCCGCAGAUAUCCGAAUGGGGAAACCCGGCCCGAAUGGGUCAUCCCUUGCUGAAUACAUAGGCAAGGGAAGCGAACGCAGUGAACUGAAACAUCUAAGGUACCAAUCACUAGU